CCUACGGGUGGCUGCAGUGAGGAAUAUUGGUCAAUGGACGAGAGUCUGAACCAGCCACGUAGCGUGAAGGAUGACUGCCCUAUGGGUUGUAAACUUCUUUUAUAUGGGAAUAAAAUGUUCCACGUGUGGGAUUUUGUAUGUACCAUAUGAAUACGGAUCGGCUAACUCCGUGCCAGCAGCCGCGGUAAUACGGAGGAUCCGAGCGUUAUCCGGAUUUAUUGGGUGUAAAGGGAGCGUAGGUGGAUUGUUAAGUCAGUUGUGAAAGUUUGCGGCUCAACCGUAAAAUUGCAGUUGAAACUGGCAGUCUUGAGUACAGGAGAGGUGGGCGGAAUUCGUGGUGUAGCGGUGAAAUGCUUAGAUAUCACGAAGAACUCCGAUGGCGAAGGCAGUUCACUGGACUGCAACUGACACUGAGGCUCGAAAGUGUGGGUAUCAAACAGGAUUAGAUACCCCAGUAGUC
Molecule: ribosomal RNA, 460 nt
Filed under: uncultured bacterium
Lineage: Bacteria
Description: partial 16S ribosomal RNA
Rfam family: Bacterial small subunit ribosomal RNA
Source: RNAcentral